UUCGGUGGUCAUAGCGUGAGGGAAACGCCCGGUUACAUUUCGAACCCGGAAGCUAAGCCUUUCAGCGCCGAUGGUACUGCAUGCGGGAGCGUGUGGGAGAGUAGGACGCCGCCGAAC
Molecule: ribosomal RNA, 117 nt
Filed under: Candidatus Streptomyces philanthi
Lineage: Bacteria; Bacillati; Actinomycetota; Actinomycetes; Kitasatosporales; Streptomycetaceae
Also listed under: 2 other names
Source: RNAcentral